RNAcentral lists this long non-coding RNA (847 nucleotides) under Daphnia pulex (common water flea). RNAcentral describes it as "uncharacterized LOC124196301". Lineage: Eukaryota; Metazoa; Arthropoda; Branchiopoda; Diplostraca; Daphniidae. The record is from RNAcentral.
GCAACGCCGUAAUCGGCCAUUUUAGUUCCCAUUAUUUUUUCCCUGUGUAAAUUUCCAUAAGGAAUCGGGGUACCUUUAGUUUUAAUUCAUUAUUUAAUUAUUGGUUUCUUACAGCCAAUUUAUUUUUCAUCGAUCGUGUUCCCCGAUGAAUUGGUUGUUUUGAUUCUGGUAUGUCAAAACAGACAUGUUAUGUGCUUGGCUGCGGUGCUGUAACUUUUGCUUCCCAAAAGUGAAUGUUAAUGGACAUCUAGAAUAUGGGGUUUCUAAAAGUAGGAGACAGGUAUAUGGCUGCUGAAAAGAACAAAUUUGAGAGAAAAAGGUUUAUAAAAAUAUACAGCAGAGUAUGUAGUCAACAUUUUACUUCUGGUAACAUAGUAAAUUUUUUAAAGUAAUUCAUAUUAUUGAGUCGUGUUGGAAAUAUUUAUGUGAAAUAAUUAACUAAGUAACAUGUUUUUAACUGCACCAACACAUAAUAAUGAGCAAAAUUCCAUUGAGAUUGCUACUGUUGAAAGAAUUAGUCGCUCUCUAAGAAGGCAGGUUGCUGGGACAUGUUCAACGAUGUAAGAGGAUGACACACAUUCCACAAGACGUAGUUACUGAUUUCAUGAAAGAUACAACUGUACCUGAGGGUACAAUGCAGAACACGUUUGAUGAACACAUCAACACAUUGGUGAAUCAAGUAACAAUCAGAAUCCAUCUACCUGCAAAACAGUCAUUGGUUCUUCGAAUAAAAAGUAUUGAAAAAUGAGAAAUAAUUACUAGUUGAAGCAGUGUCACGUCACGUCUUCAGUAUUUUUAUUAAAAACUUUAUUUCAUGUUUAAUACAAUGUUUCACUCGAAAAAAGAA